RNAcentral lists this unclassified non-coding RNA (231 nucleotides) under Paxillus olivellus. Its description in RNAcentral is "partial internal transcribed spacer 2". The record is from RNAcentral. Lineage: Eukaryota; Fungi; Basidiomycota; Agaricomycetes; Boletales; Paxillaceae.
AAUUCUCAACCGUCCCUCGAUUGAUUUUCGAGGGUUUGGCUUGGACUUUGGGAGCUGCUGGCGACCGAUCGGGUCUUCGGCUCUCCUCAAAAGCAUUAGCGACGGCGGUGUGACCUCCCCCGUGCACGAACGGCCUUCGACGUGAUAAUGAUCGUCGUGGGCUGGAGUGCUAGCGGGCGUCGUGUCGUGUUCGGCGCUUCUAAUUCUCGUCGAAAGACGAAAUAUAUCGAA